Molecule: ribosomal RNA, 484 nt
Filed under: uncultured bacterium
Lineage: Bacteria
Description: partial 16S ribosomal RNA
Rfam family: Bacterial small subunit ribosomal RNA
Source: RNAcentral
AUUGAACGCUGGCGGAAUGCUUUACACAUGCAAGUCGAACGGCAGCACGGGGGCAGCCCUGGUGGCGAGUGGCGAACGGGUGAGUAAUACAUCGGAACGUGCCCGGUCGUGGGGGAUAACGUAGCGAAAGGUACGCUAAUACCGCAUACGAUCUGAGGAUGAAAGCGGGGGACCUUCGGGCCUCGCGCGAUCGGAGCGGCCGAUGUCAGAUUAGGUAGUUGGUGGGGUAAAGGCCUACCAAGCCGACGAUCUGUAGCUGGUCUGAGAGGACGACCAGCCACACUGGGACUGGGACACGGCCCAGACUCCUACGGGAGGCAGCAGUGGGGAAUUUUGGACAAUGGGCGCAAGCCUGAUCCAGCCAUUCCGCGUGCAGGACGAAGGCCUUCGGGUUGUAAACUGCUUUUGUACGGAACGAAAAGGCUCUGGCUAAUACCUGGGGCUCAUGACGGUACCGUAAGAAUAAGCACCGGCUAACUACGUG